AGUCGAGAAUCUUCGGCAAUGGGGGCAACCCUGACCGAGCGACGCCGCGUGCGGGAUGAAGGCCUUCGGGUUGUAAACCGCUGUCAGAGGGGAGGAAAUGCUAGAGGGUUCUCUCUCUAGUUUGACCUAUCCUCAGAGGAAGGACGGGCUAAGUUCGUGCCAGCAGCCGCGGUAAGACGAACCGUCCAAACGUUAUUCGGAAUCACUGGGCUUAAAGGGUGCGUAGGCAGUCCGGGAAGUUGGGUGUGAAAGCCCUCAGCUCAACUGAGGAAUUGCGCCCAAAACUGCCGGGCUUGAGGGAGACAUAGGUGAGCGGAACCUAGGGUGGAGCGGUGAAAUGCGUUGAGAUCCUAGGGAACACCAGUAGCGAAAGCGGCUCACUGGGUCUUUUCUGACGCUGAGUGCACGAAAGCUAGGGGAGCGAAGAGGAUUAGAUACCCUCGUAGUCCUAGCCGUAAACAAUGAGCACUGAUUUGGAGGGUCCUCCAUAGCCUUCCAGAUGUAGCGAAAGUGUUAAGUGCUCCGCCCGGGGAGUAUGGUCGCAAGGCUGAAACUCAAAGGAAUUGAC
This 568-nucleotide ribosomal RNA is filed under the name uncultured bacterium. RNAcentral describes it as "bacterial SSU rRNA". It matches the Rfam family "Bacterial small subunit ribosomal RNA", at positions 353 to 914 of the family's 1533-position model. The record is from RNAcentral.